Molecule: ribosomal RNA, 580 nt
Filed under: Cortinarius sp. SMI41
Lineage: Eukaryota; Fungi; Basidiomycota; Agaricomycetes; Agaricales; Cortinariaceae
Description: eukaryotic LSU rRNA
Rfam family: Eukaryotic large subunit ribosomal RNA
Source: RNAcentral
GUGACCUCAAAUCAGGUAGGACUACCCGCUGAACUUAAGCAUAUCAAUAAGCGGAGGAAAAGAAACUAACAAGGAUUCCCCUAGUAACUGCGAGUGAAGCGGGAAAAGCUCAAAUUUAAAAUCUGGCAGCCUUUGGUUGUCCGAGUUGUAAUCUAGAGAAGUGUUAUCCGCGCUGGACCGUGUACAAGUCUCCUGGAAUGGAGCGUCAUAGAGGGUGAGAAUCCCGUCUUUGACACGGACUGCCAGGGCUUUGUGAUGCGCUCUCAAAGAGUCGAGUUGUUUGGGAAUGCAGCUCAAAAUGGGUGGUAAAUUCCAUCUAAAGCUAAAUAUUGGCGAGAGACCGAUAGCGAACAAGUACCGUGAGGGAAAGAUGAAAAGAACUUUGGAAAGAGAGUUAAACAGUACGUGAAAUUGCUGAAAGGGAAACGCUUGAAGUCAGUCGCGUUGUCCAGGGAUCAACCUUGCUUUUGCUUGGUGCACUUUCUGGUUGACGGGUCAGCAUCAAUUUUGACUAUUGGAAAAAGAUUAGGGGAAUGUGGCAUCUUNGGAUGUGUUAUAGCCCUUGGUUGCAUACAAUGGU